UACGUAGGGUGCGAGCGUUAAUCGGAAUUACUGGGCGUAAAGUGUGCGCAGGCGGCCGCGCAAGUCGAGUGUGAAAGCCCCGAGCUUAACUUGGGAAUUGCGCUCGAAACUACGUGGCUGGAGUGUGGCAGAGGAAGGUGGAAUUCCACGUGUAGCGGUGAAAUGCGUAGAGAUGUGGAGGAACACCGAUGGCGAAGGCGACUACCUGGCCUGUUCUUGACGCUGAGGCGCGAAAGCUAGGGGAGCAAACGGG
RNAcentral lists this ribosomal RNA (253 nucleotides) under uncultured bacterium. RNAcentral's name for it is "partial 16S ribosomal RNA". It matches the Rfam family "Bacterial small subunit ribosomal RNA", at positions 524 to 776 of the family's 1533-position model. The record is from RNAcentral.